This 352-nucleotide unclassified non-coding RNA is filed under the name soil metagenome. RNAcentral describes it as "partial contains 5.8S ribosomal RNA, internal transcribed spacer 2, and large subunit ribosomal RNA". The stretch from base 1 to 120 matches the Rfam family "5.8S ribosomal RNA", at positions 35 to 154 of the family's 154-position model. The record is from RNAcentral.
GAUGAAGAACGUAGCGAAAUGCGAUAAGUAAUGUGAAUUGCAGAAUUCAGUGAAUCAUCGAAUCUUUGAACGCACAUUGCGCCCGCCAGUAUUCUGGCGGGCAUGCCUGUUCGAGCGUCAUUACAACCCUCAGGCCCCCGGGCCUGGCGUUGGGGAUCGGCGGAGCCCCCCGUGGGCACACGCCGUCCCCCAAAUACAGUGGCGGUCCCGCCGCAGCUUCCAUCGCGUAGUAGCUAACACCUCGCGCCUGGAGAGCGGCGCGGCCACGCCGUAAAACACCCAACUCUUCUGAAGUUGACCUCGAAUCAGGUAGGAAUACCCGCUGAACUUAAGCAUAUCAAUAAGCGGAGGA